GAUGAACGCUGGCGGCGCGCCUAACACAUGCAAGUCGAACGGUUAAAGCACCUUCGGGUGUGUAUAAAGUGGCGAACGGCUGAGUAACACGUGGGCAACCUGCCCCUCGCACCGGGAUAGCGAUUGGAAACGAUAGCUAAUACCGGAUAGGUGGCACCUUCGCAUGAAGGGGCCAUUAAAGUUGCUACGGCAGCACGAUGGGAUGGACCUGCGGUGCAUUAGCUAGUUGGUACGGUAACGGCGUACCAAGGCGAUGAUGCAUAGCCGACCUGAGAGGGUGACCGGCCACAUUGGGACUGAGACACGGCCCAA
Molecule: ribosomal RNA, 312 nt
Filed under: uncultured bacterium
Lineage: Bacteria
Description: bacterial SSU rRNA
Rfam family: Bacterial small subunit ribosomal RNA
Source: RNAcentral